RNAcentral lists this long non-coding RNA (20321 nucleotides) under Nicotiana tabacum (common tobacco). RNAcentral's name for it is "long non-coding RNA (NTAB_LNC000791)". Lineage: Eukaryota; Viridiplantae; Streptophyta; Magnoliopsida; Solanales; Solanaceae. The record is from RNAcentral.
AAAAAGGAAUAAUAAUCUACAAGCAGUGGAAAAAUUUUAAGCAACUAUUUAGCAGUACUGUUAUUUCAUAUUUCAUUUCCACUGGUUUGCAACAAUGUCUGCAAGAUCCACCACCCUCUGUGAGUAACCCCAUUCAUUGUCAUACCAAGCAAUAACCUUAACCAUGUCAUCUCCCAUGACCAUAGUAAGUGAAGCAUCAACAGUUGAUGACACAUCACUGCACCGGAAGUCGACCGACACGAGUGGUUCAUCGCAGACAUCGAGAAUGCCUUUGAGCUCCUUGUCAGCAGCCUCCCUAAAUGCAGCAUUCACUUCCUCAGCAAAUGUCUUCUUGGUGACUUGAACGACAAGGUCCACGACAGAGACGUUAGGGGUUGGCACACGGAGGGCAAUGCCGUUGAGCUUCCCCUUAAGGCUUGGGAGGACAAGGGCCACGGCCUUAGCAGCACCAGUUGAGGUUGGAACUAUGUUGAGGGCUGCAGCUCGUGCACGUCUAAGGUCCCUGUGGCUCGCAUCAAGAAGCCUUUGGUCACCAGUGUAAGAGUGAGUAGUUGUCAUGGUUCCCUUGAUAAUGCCUAUGCAAGAAAAAAUAUUAGUUUAUGAAUUUAAGUUAUAUGCACUGACAGUAAAAGACAGUAAUGCUCGUGUAUAACUAGAUAAAGGUGUAUUACCGAAUUUUUGGUCAAGAACCUUGACAAAAGGAGCAAGGCAGUUGGUGGUGCAAGAGGCAUUGCUGAUGAUUGGUUCAUCAGGGUUGUAGAGAUCAGCAUUGACACCAACAACAUAUGUGGGGAUGUCACCUUUUCCGGGAGCGGUGAUGAGCACCUUCUUGGCUCCGGCCUGGAUGUGUUUUCCGGCACCUUCUCUGUCGACAAACACUCCGGUACCUUCUAUUACCAAGUCAAUCCCAAGAUCUCUGAACACAUUACACAAACAUUUUGAACAUUAGUAGCUGUUAGAGGUUGAAGGGGAGCCUUGGCGUAACUGGUAAGUUGUUGCCAUGUAACCAGGAGGUCACGGGUUCAAGCCGUGGAAACAAUAUCUUGCAGAAAGGGUAAGGCUGCGUACAAUAGACCCUUGUGGUCCGGUCCCUCCCCGGACCCCGCGCAUAGCGGGAGCUUAGUGCAACGGACUGCCCUUUAGUAGCUGUUAGAGGUUGACCAGAUAUCACAAGCUAGUAUUAUACUAGACAGUACAUGAGCUAAGUUAAGCAUGUUAUCAUGAUUCAUUUCUAGCUACUCACUGUUGGACAAUGUUAAAACUUAGAACUACUGUUUCAUAUUUUUGUUUUUUGUUCUCAGCAUAAUGACAAUCACUUGCAAUGCUCGUCCAAGUUGUGCUUGGACCACACAUAUUGCAUUAAUCACACUAAGAACAAAUGGAUUGCUAUUUUGUGAUAAUUCAAAUUUUUGUACAUUGAAAGUAUAAUGAAUCUUUUACACUAUCCAUACUUAGAAACCAAUUAUAGAUGACAACAAAUAGUAAGGUAAAUUUUUUUAACUCGAGAAAAGAGGAUAACUAACUUACUAUAGCCGGUUAAGUUACCGUUAAGAUAUAAAUUUCCUUACAAUAUAUAUAUAUAUGAAUGUAUAUAACUUAAAUCCUUUCAUUACAUGUUAGUAUGAAAGAACUUACCCCCAGGGGAGGUUGACGGGGUUGCGGUUGGAGACGACUUGGAUGACUUUUCCGUCGACGGAGAUGCCGUCAGUGCCGACAGGCUUGACGUCAGCAUCAAAGAUGCCAAGGGUGGAGUCAUAUUUGAGAAGGUGAGAGGCUUGCUUGACACCACCAGUGUCAUUGAUGGCAAUGACAUCAAGGGGAGAGUCUUUCCUACCAUGCCAACACCUCAAGAAAUUCCUUCCAAUUCUUCCAAAUCCAUUGAUGGCCACUUUCAACUUGGCCUCCACUACUCCCCUCUUGUUGUUCCCUCCUCCAAUCUACAGUUUAUAAAUCCAAUUCCAUGUAAUUAUCACAAGAAAUCACUUGUUAUACAAUAACAACAACAACAACAAUAACAACAACAACAACAAAAAACACAGUGAAUUCCCACAAGUGGGGUCCGGGAAAGGUAGUGUGUACGCAGACCUUACCCCUACCUUUAGAAGGUAGAGAGACUGUUUUCCGAAGACUCUCGGCUCAUGAAAGAUAAAAGGAGGGGCAAUGACAAGCAAAUAUCUUGUUAUACAACGACCAAAAAUCAAAAUUGUGGAAGUACAAUUUAGAUGUUAUACAAUGUUAUCAUUAAUUUAUGUGGUUUAAAUUCUCUUUAAGAGUAGUGUCUGUUCUUCCUUCAAACUUAUGCAAUUACCAAUUUGCAUCAAGAUUUUGUGAGGGGCCAUUUUCUUUUUCUUCUAAAGAUCUAUUUCUAACUCUCUUUGCUAACAUUAGAGCACAAGAAUUGCACUUACUUGAGCAUUAGCAAGAAUAUAGAAGUACCUCAAACUUUUCAGCUCUACUUAGCCAUUGGAUUUCAAGUACUAUCAAGAAGACUAACAGUUAGAGACUUAUUCCUUAAUCACAAUAGACAUGAAGUAUACAUAUUCUUAUUUUCUUCUUCUUUCUCUUAUUUUAUUGGAUUUAAGUAAUAUACACUGUGUUACACUAUUAUUAUAGUUUAACAUGUGAUAGCAGAUUAGUUACCACGGUUGUUAAGUUACCAAUUAAUGCUUGUCAUAUAUGCUUGUACUUAUCUUAUAAUUUAUCUGAUAUCGUUAUGCUUGAAUAAGUUAUUAAACUCAAUCAUUCAAAGAUAAAAAUGCAAUAAUAGUACUCACAACAGAGGUUUGGAAAGCAACAACAGAGAGCAAGUCAUCAUUAGUUUUUCUUCCAAAUGGAAUAGCUGAUGAGGUACGCAGCCCUGAGAAUUCAGAGAAUCCUUUGUUGCUGACCUGCAUUUUCAUCAAUACAACAAACAUGAACUCAACAAAAAUGUUCAUUGAUCAAGUUAAUAACAAGAAACAACAACAACAAAAAAAAAAACCAGCGCAAUCCCACAAAGUGGUGUCUCGGGAGGGUACAGUGUAUACGCACACCUUACCCCCUCCUUUGUGAAGGUAGAGAAGCUGUUACCGGCAGACAAUAACAAGAAAAAAGGAACAAUAUUAAUUAUAUGAGUAAGUGAAAGAAGGACCUGGAGAGAAGAGUUGGCUACUGUGAGAGCAGCCGAAGCCAUUGUUCUUUUUAGAAAUGCAGCAGAAGAAUGUGGUAUUUGGUGUGGAAGUUUAAGAAAUAUGGAAGGUAUAAGGGGAUGAGUAGGACAAAAUGGAUGGAGGGAAGAAAAUGGAUGAGAUUAUGGAUCAUAGCAGAUAGAUAGCCUCUCACUCAUUGUAUGGCUGUGGUUGCCUACUUGCAUGUUCUUUUCCUUAUGUGCUAGACCUUUUAUUUUUUCAAGUAUCCGGAAUCUAUUGGUCCGACUAAUCUAGAUGCGUAUAUGUUUCUCACUUUUUUAAUAAAUGAGUUUAACUUCUUGAGCCGAGGUCUAUCGGAAAUAAACUCUCUACCUUUUUAAAGUAAGGAUAAAGUCUGCGUACGCAUUAGCCUUCCCAGACCCCACUUGUAGAAUUACGUUGUGUUCGUUGUUAUUGUUGUUGUUGUAAUGAGUUUAACUUCUAAACACCAAAAGCGUAAACAACUUUACAUUAUCACUUAAAAGAUAAUUGCUAGUAAUUAUCUUUAACAAGUAAAAUUAGGAACAUGAAAAAUAAGGCAAAUAACCUACUAGGACAAGGCAAAUUAUAUUGAUAGUGUAAAAGUUCUUGUCACUGUAUAUAAAUUAAAACCUUAAUUUAUUCAAGGCAGUCUCUAUUUUUAGAAAUUCGUAUUAUUAUACUUCUGUUUUAUUUUAGCUGAAUUAUAUGCUAAAUCAUGUGAAGAGACCUUGUAAUUUUGUUUUGAAUGUCUAUGAGACCAAAUUUUUGAGUGACAUCUAACAUUAAGAACUCUGACUUUUUAAAAUAAAACUUGGAGAUUUGAGAAACAAUGUUGAAAAAAUCAAGAUUUUAUUUUUAUUUUCUUGAAAUAUUAAUUAUACAUAAAGAAAUAUUGAUAUGUCGUAUGAAAUCUAAUUCAGACUCUUUUUGUUUGACUCUCGAAAGUGAAAUAUGAUUAUCAUUUAAAUGGUAAUUCACAUUUAUAGUUUUAUGUGAUCAAUAAAGAAAAAUUCUUUUUCUUUUGUUGUCAAAGAGUUGUUUUUGUUAUUUUAUGUUUCUUUUCUUAUUUUUCUUCUGUUAAAUUUUAAAGGUCCAUAUAAAUUGGUCAGGUCACAGUUAUUGCUAUCCAUAAAAAUUGCCACCUUGUCACUGAGACUCCCUGCCAUUGGACUGCCAAUGACUAGAAAUCCUUUGUCCAUAUCUAACCUUAUUACCUCAUUAAAAGAAUGUAUUUCUUCACCUUUGGUCCCAAUAAUAUUUUGUAAGGACUUCAAAAGGAACAAUGUUAUAAAAUUGAAAGAAACAUCAAUCCUAUUGCACAAAUUGAGAGUGAAAUUUGUGGCUUCAAAAAGUUUUCUUCCUUUAUGUGAUAUCUACCCAUAUCCUUUGGAUUUAAAAUAAUGUUACUACCAUUUUAUCAAUAAUUUGUUAGUAAAUCUUUUUCUACUGUGGACGAUGGGACAAAUUAAAUUAUUCUUUCCUCUCUUCUCCUCCUUGUUUACUCGGAAGUCUUAAUUCUAUGGUAAAAAAAUGUUGUAUAAAUAAUUAACAUUCAAAAAAAUAUUGUGUAAUAAUUAAUCUUUUUAUAUUGUAAUAGUAUCCCAAUCAAAGAGCUAACAAUAUUCUGAUCUAAGGAACAUGCCAUAACAAAGGGAUAGUCCAUCUACGCAUAUCAUUUGUUUUAUUCCUCUAUUUGGGUUUAGUUUCAAGAAACACAUUAUAUAAAUUGUCAAAGAAGAUAAUAAGUGUAAAUGAUAUUGCUAGGUAUAGUCUAAAGCUGUCAAGCGGGCCGGGCUGGCCCGGUUCCGGACCGGCUCGAUAGUAAAGGGCCGGGAAGGGCUGGAUUGGGACGGGAACCGGAAUGUGCCGAGUAGUUUUUUGGUACCGGUUAACCGGACCGAAACGACCCGUUAUGGUCAAGUCACAUGGGAACCAGUUAACCGGACCGCCCCGACCCGGUUCAAUGGCUAUUUUUUGAUUUUUUUUUAAUUUUAUAAAGUUCACGAUUGUUAUACAAAAUAAAUAAAUAAAUAAAUAAACUCGGCCCGGCCCCUUAGGCCCGGAACCGUUCCGGUUCAAUAUUUGACCGGAUGGUCCCGGACCCGUUAAGCCCGGUUUGGAAAAACCUGUAACCGGCCCGGAUUGGUGACCGACCGGUCACUUUUUUAAUCAACCCGGCCCGGCCCACCCCUUUGUCACCUAUAGUAUAGUGAUACAUCUUUAUAACAGUAUCUCUAUAAAACAGUCAUUAACUAUAAAAGUCAAUUUUUUCUCGGAACCGAUAUUUAUGUUAUGUUAUAAUAUAUAUCAUCUAUAUAUAACAACACUUCACUAUAGCAACCAAAAAAUAUCGGAACAAACAAGACUGUUAUAAAAAGAUUUGACGGCAUAUUAUUGUAAUAUGAACUGCAUUUCUGACAAAACAUAUUAUACAAUGCUUCUCAUAUUAUGUGUAGAUGUAUUUCUAGGUAAUUUGAACUGCAUUUCUCUCGAUCAAAUUAUACAAUUCUUCUCAAUUUUCCUGACUAAUUUACAAACGUGGUCCGGGACUUCUUCAUUAGACCACUCUAAUGAAUGUAGCAAUUCCAAUUAUGAUAUAAAGAAGAUACAUUUGAACAACUACACUUCAUAAAAUCAAAGGUUUUGUGAUGUUCUGGUAGUUUUUCUCGUUGGCCGCCACACCCCACUAGCAGUUCUGAUAGUCUUAGGAGGGUCCUUCAGAGAUGUAGUAAGCUGAACUUCCAGUUUUGAAGGGUCCAAAGACAGCAUUUCGCGGAUAAAAUCAUCUAAAUCGAAACCACUUCCUGUAUCUAUGCUAUUGUCCUUGUUGUUAGCCGAGGAGGAACCGGCCGAUUCUUCUGUGCUGAUGUUAGUCGAGGAGGAGCCGGUUGAUUCUUCUGCGCUCCCAUCAGUGUCAUCUCCAGCAGUAGUAUUAGAAGACUCUUUUACCUUGUAAUAAGAGUUCUGAUCCAAAUUCAAGAGCCUCUUUAUGCUAUCAAUCGCCGGAUCAAUGACAUCUAAGAAACCCAUAAUCCAUGACUCAUCAUCGACAACUUCAGUACGCUGUUACACAGGGAAAAAGAGAUCAUAUCUCAGUCUUCACUGAACUUAUCUAGCUUCAUUGGUUCUUGUUAUGACUCUAUUUCUGAAGCUUAAACGCCAUUUAUUACUUCUAAGAUAGGUGAUUAACGCCACAACCAUUGUCAAAGCGUAAACAUAGACAUCUAUUGGUUGGAUUAAGCAGAAAUAAUGAAUAUUGAGAACACUGCUAAAAAUGUGCUCGUUCAAGGAAAUCGCUUGUAUUAAUGAGGAAUACUCAUUUACCUGCUGAAAGUAGAGGUUACGAAUUUCCUCUGCACGAACGGAGUUACCUUGAUCUUCCUCCAAAUUUGCCCAUGUCAUCCAUGUUAUAUAGCUCUGAGAGUUUAUGUUCAGAGAAGAUCUAAAUAAUCUUCGAGCAGCUGAUAGAUUUCCAGCUCUUUGCUCCAAAACACCCCAAGCCUACAAAGCACAUCAAAUUAGUAAAGAACUCAGUACAUUUCCUAUGGGACACAUAACCUCCAUAGUUUAAGAUGCACGCCAGAACUAUGAGUUUUAGGAAAAACAAACUAGAAAAUUACUAUUAAUUUGAGAUUAACAUUACCUGAAGACAGCGGGCAGCACUUUCAGUUGUUGAAUUGAUCGACAGAGCUCUCUGGUAUAGUUCCCUAGCAGUGGAAACGUUCCCUUCUUUCCACUCCAUCCAACCCCAAGCCUAAAUCAGUACCAAGUUUAGACAGCAUUUGGUGCGCGCAUUCAUGUUGACGAUAAUGGAUAAUUGUGGAGGAAGUAAACUUCUCCCCCACUUAGAAAAAGGGAAAAAUAAAAUAUGAAUAUGGACUCAUCGGAAAGGGAAAAAAGCAAAAGCGGAAAAGAAAAACAGUAGACGUUCCACCUUAACUGAAUAGGGGAGUGAAGCAUCAGUACAAACUACAAAGAAAAGCUUUGAUUCCUAAAGGACUACAAUAGACAAAUGCGGCUUACAAAAAUUCAGAGGGAAAGAAAAGGAAAGCUGGAUUGAAUCAAUUAGUUGCAAUUAAGAGGAGCUGGCUCCUAAGUGAAUCUUGACAAACAAAGACAAUCCUUGAGAGGAUUUGAAACUACAACUUCGACGUACUCUCUUUUCUACACUAAAGAUAACCUAUAGAAAGAUGGAGCACAGGUAAAAGAUAGGUCAUGAAUAGAGGCUUAUCAACUUGUAGUUUCACUCAUCAAACUCAACUUUUCCUUGUUGCCCUAUUAUUUUGCAUUGAUUACUCACUCCAGGAAACUCCCUUGAUUUUCUGAUACUACUCUCUGUUAAAAAUGCAUAGGAUAGGUAUUGAAUUGUUCAUUAUUCCUUUUUCUUGGUUGUCAAAGUUACAAGUUUUACUAUCUUAGACUGUUGCAUGGAAACAAAUAGAAAAGCUCUGUCGGCUUCAUCAAUUUAGUAAUCUCUUUAAGUCUUUCAUCUUCUAUAUACCAUGUUAAGCGCUUUCUUUCUUUUAGUGAGUCUUUCAUUUGACAAAGGUUGUAAAGGAGGUCAGUCGAUUAUUCGGUUGAAAAUUAAGAGCAUUCGAAAAAGAAACAACAUGUAGGAUUACUUCUAACUUCUGUAGAAAAAAUUUAAAAUUUAAAAGAAAAGUCUUACAAUCCAAACUGGUUGAUGCCUUGGAUCCAUUUCAGAUGCCCUCCGGAAUAAAACUCGUGCGAGGUUUGCACUGGAGUGCUUGUAUUCUAUCAAAGCAAGUGACUGGAGAAGAACAGGAUCUCUAGGAUUUACCAUAUGCCCUAUUGUCAGAAGUUUCCUUCCUUGGUCAAUGUUUUCAAGAUUAGCUUCAAAAACUCCCCACACAUGCCACGCAAACCGAUUUUUUGGACUGGCCUGAACUGCUUUCUGCUUUGUCAGGAGUAUCAAAUACAAGAAAAAUAAACAAAUUGAAAUUAAAAGUAACAAAGGCAUCAAAUAAAUAGGAAAUGCUCAAUGAUGAUAGAAACGUAGAUCAACUUCAGAAAAUACAAACCUCAAACAGCUGCCUAGCAGCACGGUUAUUCUCCAACUGAGCCUCUAGUUGAGCCCAUGCCUACGCAAGAGAGUACAGAACCACUAUAAGGAAUCCACCAAAGACAUGUUUACGAACCAUAGCCAAGACGGAUUAAAGUUUUUGGAUAACUCUUACCAGCCAACUAGCACAACUUUUUCGGUUACACUUUGUAGCCUGUUUGAACAAAUAGCGGGCUCUUUCAUAUCGUUUUGCUUUAGCUUCAAGGAGUGCAAGAGUUUGGUAUACGUACUCGUUACCUCCACAAAACUUGAGGCCUUUUCCAAGAAGAUUUCUUGCCUUUUUUAUAUUCCCUUGCUUCAGCUCUAAAACUGCCCAUCCAUGCCAGGCUGCAAUAUGCUUCUUGUCAGCAACUGUGGCAGCAUCGAAUAGUUCUCUAGCUCUCCGUAUAUUACCCAUCCUAUUUUCCAGAAUAGCCCAGCACUAGUCCAAAGGAGUAAGUUUGGUGAACUUCUGAUACAAAAGAUAAGUUGCAAGAAGACAUGUAGUAGGUCAUAUUGUUUUCAAUGUAGGCACAUCAUUUGCAAAUGGAUAAUCUGACCUUGAAUCCUCUUUAAAUUAAUUCUUUCUAUCCACUAAGAAUACCUAACAGACUCAAGGACCAAUCCACUGAUCCAUGUUAAGACUUAGGAGACAGUCAAGGAUUUCUGAUGAAAAUUCUCUUCUUCGGUAUUUGAAAUUUUGAACUUUAUUAAGAGAAGCAUUACCAAACGACCUUAGACAUGAUCAGUGGCGGAGCCAGAAUUUUCACUAAGGAGAAUCAAAAUGUAAAUAAGUAAGCAUGCAAAGAAAUCAAGGGGAGUCGACAUAUAGUAUAUAUAUAUAAAAAAUAAAAAUUUAACCUAUCUACGCAGUGUAAUUCUUUGACGAAGGGGUGUCACUUGACUCCCCUUGCUAAUGAGUCGCUCCGCCACUAGGCAUGAUUUUGCCCGUUGCAAGGUGAAUAAUUGCAAAAAAUUGUCAAGUUUGUAUAUGAAUCAGCUGUUCCACAUGCCCAAAUUUCUUUAAUGUACAAAGUUAAAGAUCACUAAGAAACGGAACAUAAUAUACUAUAAAUGAUCUUUACUCCAUCAAGGAAUAUGAUAUUUGUUUAAGUUGUAAAUCAUUAGUACUAAAUCUGCUAUCAAACACAAGUAAAAACUAUGUGCUUAAACAACAUAUUCGACGGACUUGAUAAUCAAAUUAUGCAUUACAGUAUGCUAGUAGAGAAACUUUUAACUUACAACAGAUUCCUAUUCUAGCUCAAGAUUAACGUAUAAUAUGGAAGUAUAAGAGACUAAAUACACUCAUAACACUGUUAUAACACUAACCUGCCAAAUGUAAGGAUUUUCUCCUUGUGUUGCCUGGCAGCCUUUUUCGUAAACAGUUCUGGCUUCAUUUAAUUUUGAUUGCUUACUCAAAAUCUUUCCCAAAGCAACAUAUGGUCUCCCAUCUUCUGGCCAGACAUCGAUACACUCCAUGCGUAAAAUAUUCAGAAAUCAGUAACAUUAUUAACAAAUAAUGAAGCGUCCUCUGGAUAUCAAGAGAAAAUAACAAGGAAUGGUAAUUUUAUUUUUUUUGGGAUCGACGAAUGCUACCUGUUGCAAAAUUUUCUCUGCAUCUGCGUACUGAUACUUUCGAGCCAAAAUCUUUGCCCUAUAUAGAGCUAAGUCUAAAUUGACUUUAAGUGGCUUCUCUCCAGAACCUGAUUCCAGCCUGUUUGGCUCAAACAUUGGCAUCUUCUUUGCAAAUUUCCUAAGUCCAUCAUCAAGUGGAAAUGACGAGGAAGAUGGCUGCUCUUCCAAGAGAUCAUUUCUGUCUUGAGAAUUCUCAAAGUUACGCAUCUCUUCCCCUUUUUCAUCACCAACUUCCCCAUAAGGGUCCUUCACCGGCCUACGAAUCACAAGUAAUUCUUCUAAGGACUUCUUUGUAGUGCUGAUCUCAUCAGCAACUUCAUCAGCGUAACGUCUAUCUUGGCUAUCAAACUUAGAAGAAGAUCUUGAUGUUUCUGGAUUCUCUUCAAGAAGUGGUGAUGAGGAAGAUGACUCAUGGGAACAAAAGGGAGGUAAAAGAGGAUGUGAAGACGAUGGUUGGGAUGUUCUGAAGGGGACGGAAAAAUGAAACUUUGAAGAAUUGUGGUUCUGAGAAUGAUAGAAGAGAGUGAAAUUAGAGCUCGAAGGAGAAGUAAAUGAAAAUUGACUCAUUGCUUUUCCUGUAUCUACGCUUGUUUUGGUAAAACUGUUCUACAAUUUACGGAAGACAAUGUUCUACACAUGUUCUGGUGAGGUUCUGGAGAAAGGAAAAGAUUAUGUGUAAAGAGUCACUGAGAUCCUAUAAUUAGUAAGAAUGUAGAUCACAUCGGUUUCUAUCUUCACAGGAGAUGAAAGAAUAAUAACGAAAAGAAAGAUCGAUUCUUCGGGAUCCUUCCUUUGUUCAAAUGGAACGAAAAGAGAUAGAAUAAGGCCAAUUCCUGAAAUGCUUUUCUGGAUAUUCUUCAAUGUCCCGGCUGCUGAUCAGCUUCAGAAGUUGUAAGAAAAUAGAUGCAUAGCUGAAACUUAUUGAUAGUUCAACGGAUUCUAAGAUGAAAAGGUUUAUUUGAAGAUCUUCAACUGCCCUUUCUCAUAGAAAAGAUUACUCCAUCAGGCAUGCAUUCAUCUGUUUCAAUCCAAGAGUAUUCUGUUACUUUAAAAUGGAAAAAAGACAAGAGAAGAUGGGGGGAAACAAUUUUCUUCAUCCCUAUUACAUACUUCCAUUUAAAAACCGCCAAGAAUGUUUCUAUACUUCGAGAAUUCAAAUACAUUACAUAAGCCAAAUUUAAUCUAUAAUGGGAUGUUUUCUUACCACUGAAGCUUCGUAUGCAUUGCUAAAUCAAACUACCUUCUCAGUCUUGUGCCUAUUCAGAUUACUACGCUAAAAGGACGCAACAACAACAACAACAACAACAACAACAACAACAACAAAAAACCCAGUGUAAUCUCACAAGUGGGACUGGGGAGGGUAAUGUGUACGCAGACCUUAUCCCUACCUUGUGAAGGUUGAGGGAUUGUUUCCGAUAGAACCUCGGCUCAAAGAAAUAUGUUAAAAGGACGCAAAGCGACUAAAAGGAAAGAAACAUGAUCCACACCUUAAACCUUUAAAAAUAAUGAUCAGACAGCUUGAUAAGUCAUACAAAUUAAAUUACUUUGAUAUAUAUCAUUAAAUCUCUCAGACUAGUUAAACUAACUUAGUUAACCUUCGAAUAUUCAAAUUCGAUUAACAUGCAGCUAAACUUAUAGUUUGCUAGGGGAAAGAAAAUCAAAGUGCGUCCUUGCUUUACUCAUUUAAGCUUAAAAAAAUUGUCUCAUUAAAGAAAAAAGGACUAUAGUCUGCAAAUACAUAUCUAUCAGCAUUUGUGAAAGAGAAGUGAAGUAAAAUGUGAAACUUACUAGUACUACUGAAGGUAAAGAAAACCACUGAUUUCCCACCAAAUAUGAGAAUUCUUGUUUCUUGAAUGCCACCUGUGUAAACUUGGAGAUGGGGUUGGUUUGUUGGGGUGAAUAUGCAGAGUGAGAAGAAGAAGAAGAAGAAGAAGUUAGUAAAAGGAUGAAUGGAAGUAUUGAAGUGUUUACUGUAGGUGCAGGCAAAGUGACAGAAGUGGAUGAGAUUGUUGAUGACUUGGAGAUUGCAUUUGGCUUUACUCUUUAACUGAAUGGCUGUGGUUUGUACGUGUAUGCACCUUCACCCCCUUGUGUUUCUUUUGUGUUUCAUUUUUCAUCCUUCGUUUUCUUCUACUUUCUUUUAAUUGACAGUAAUAGUUAAGUUAGAUUAGUUAUCAUUUAUAUCAAAUUAAUAAUUAAUAAUUAAUAUUUAUUAUAAAAGUUUUAUUUAUAAGUUAUAACUAUCCGAAAGGUUAACCUGUGGUGGGAGUCGGAGAAAAAUCAACUUCACCCCUGAACUAUCUGAAAGGUGCAUAUUUGCCCUUAAUUUUUAAAAGAAAUUACUAUAACUUAAUUGUGGGAUACGUGGGGACAAAGACGGAUCCAAGAUUUGGAGGCUCCGGCCUCCGGGUGCCAAACUAAUCGAUUUAAUUAAUUUUGGCUUUGGGAUUCUAAUGGGAGCGAGGAUUUUGAAAAGGAAAUGUUGUUUUAAUUGUGGGUGUAAAAAACAAAUAGUACAAAGAGACCGAAAAAAAAAUCAAGAUUUACUAACAAAGAAAGAUAUAGAGGCCGUUUGAAUGAGUUUGUUUAAGUGACUUUUAAACCAAAAAUCAUAAGUUAGGAAUUCUAGCUUUUGACUUAUUUUUGUCAUUUUAGCUUAAAAACAAGUGUUUAAAAGUACUUUUUUACUUUAUCCAAACAUUACAAAAUGGCUUAAAAGUUGUUUUAGCUUUAAAAAUAUUUAAAAUAAGCCAAUUCAAAUGAGCUCAUAGUCAACAAUAAUUAAAUAAAGAAAAAUAAGGAGAAUAGAAUAUAAUUGAAGAAAGAAAAAUAAGUGAACACUAAAGUCAAAAUUUACUAAGAAUACGUAGUGAUGCAGCAAGCUAAAAAGGUUUUAAAAAGUGUUGUCUCAACUGUUCGAUUACUCACUGCCAAGAAGGAUUUAUCAGCUAUUUACCACUAAGCACCUUAGUAUCUUUUGUUACUUUGGGUGGCACUCGAAAUAUUUAUCAGAUUUUACAGAUAUGCAUACAUAUAUAGUUAAGGUUUCGAACAAAACUUGCGGGUGGUGUAUCACUCCCACGGGCCUUAGUAGAUCCGCCUCUGUGUGAAAAUCACGGGGUGCUAAGCUUUCGAAGUUUAAUCUAUAUCUAUCUAUCUAUCUAUACUAUAUUAAAGCACGAAUACGCUAUCGAAAUGUCGUUCGCUUUUUUUAUCCUUCGUAUUAAAUGAUGGAUAUAAAUGUAAUUCUAAUAACUAUUUUCUUGAAAAGAAUGAGCAGAGUUUACAUUGUUUGGAAUUCUUCCCUACGCGGUUUAUGUCUCUUUUAUAUCAGUUUUAAUCAAUUUCCAUUGACUCUUUAGUCUUGGUUUAGGAUUCAAUUUCUUCUUAGUUUAUUGACCGUAUUAGGAUUGUCCUCGUGUCUUUACUUUACAUUCCUUUUGUAUUAGUUUUGGAUUUCAUCUCAACUUAGUUUAUUCUAUUUCUUCUUAGUUUAUUGACCGUAUGGUCCCCUUCGUCUCUUUACUUAGUUUUGGAUUCAAUUUAUGUUUCUAGAAUUUUACACUGACUACUUCUAUAAAAGAAGCUAUUAUUCUUCCUUUUUUUUUGGUCAUAAACUGACAUUUACAUAGCAGACUUGCUUGUCACUUGUGGUACAUUUCUAUCUUGUACUAUAUUCUUAAAGUCAUUUAAUAAUGGAUGUUCGUGCAUUAUCACUCUUAGUUGAAUGAUUGUAUCAAACCAAUCAAUCUUUUAAAAUUUUCCCUUAUGUUCUAUUCCAAUUUGCCAUCACAAAUAGCUACAUGAUUGUUCCUCAAAUCUUCUCCUUCUGAUGUACAUUUAGUUUAUUUCUUCCUUCUUUUUGUUGGUAUUCGUUUUUGGUAAAUUUUUGCUUUUGAUGUUAGAACUGUUAUUUGAUAAUUGAUAAUUGAUAAACAACUAAAUCGAAAGUUUUCAAUUAUGAUUUUUGUUUAGAAUGUUUAUAAUAUCUCAUAUAUCAUCAUUGGUUUAUGUCUCAUGAAUGAUAAUUGGUUUAAAAUUGACUCAUUUACGAAUGUUGUACAGGUUGUUUGGAUCGUUGCAUUCAUCACAUACAAUUGGUUAGGUAUUCUAACUCAUAUCAAAUUAAUAUUUUAUUAAUUUAAUAUUUUUAUCACUCUAUGGUUGAUAUAUAAUUUUAAUUACUAAUUGUUAUGCCACCUCAAGUUGCUCAUAUUUUCUCAGAAAAAAAUGAAUUUGAUUACCUUUUUUAAUUGAUAAUAGUAUAUAUAUCACAAUUUUGAAAUUGUGUUUUUAAAGAAUAACCCUUGGCAAUUAGCGUCGUUGAAUCUACACAAAGUUUUGACAAUUUUCAUUGGUUUAGGCAAACAAUUCUCCUUAUCAAUCUCAUAAAUAGUAUUUUAUAUAAUUGUGAUGACCCAAAAUGUCAUCUCUAAAUUUAAUAAUUAAUUUUAUGUUCUAAGACCUCAAAAAGUACUAUUUAUCAUUACCCGACUUGCGUGCACAUCCCAUAAAAUUUUUUAAAAAGUUUUUAUGUGAAAAAUGGAUUAAAAUGUGAAUUAGAGCUUUAAAACUCAACUGAGUUGACUUUGGUCAACAUUUUGAGUAAACGGACUCGGAUCAGUAUUUUGAAAGUUUUAGUAAGUCCGUAUCGUGAUUUGGGACUUGGGCGUAUGCCCGUAAUUAAAUUCCGAGGUCCCUAGCACGAGAUAUGGAAUUUUGAUGAAAAAUUAAAGGUUUUAAAAGCUUAAGCCAAAUAGUGACCGGAUAUCGAAUUAUAUGCAGACAACCCCGGAAUAGAAUUUUGAUAAUUCCAACAGCUCCGUAUGGUGAUUUUGGACUUAGGAGCGUGAUCGAAAUUUUAUUUGGAAGUCCGUAGUGAAAUUAGGCUUGAAAAGGCUAAAAUAGGAAUUUAAGUUUGGAAGUUUGACCCGGGAGUUGACUUUUUGAUAUCGGGGUCAGAAUCCAGUUCUGAAAAUUUUCACAGUUCUGUUAUGUCAUUUAUGACUUGUGUGCAAAAUUUGAGGUCAAUCUGACUUGAUUUGAUAGGUUUCGACAUCGAAUGUAGAAGUCGAAAAUUCUAAGUUUCAUUAAUCUUGAAAUCGAGCAUGAUUCGUAUUUUUAGCGUCGUUUUAUGUGAUUUUAGGUUUCAAAUAAGUUCGUAUGAUGUUUUAGGACUUGUUGGUAUAUUUGGUUGAGGUCCCGAGGGCCUCAGGUGAGUUUCAGAUGGUUAACGGAUAAAAAUUUGGACUUAAAACGUUGCUGCAAUUUUUCUCUUCUGCUGGAUAUUCUGCGCAGUGAUCGAGCCCAGAUAUCGAGCCAGGGUCGACGGCCAGGGUCUAAUCCAGAGACGAGGCUGAGGAUCGAUGCCAUGAUUGAAGGCCCAGGCUCGAUGCCAUGAUUGAGGCUAUGAUCGAAGGCUCACGCUCGAUGCCAUGAUCGAGGCCAUGAUCGAAGGCCCAGGAUCGAGGCCAUGAUCGAAGGACCGGGCUCGAUGCCAUAAUCGAGGCCAUGACCGAGGUCCCUGCUCGAGCCUGUGAUCGAAGCCACGAUCGAGGCCUAGGCUCGAGGGCCAUGAUCGAAGUUACGAUCGAGGCCCAGUUCUGAAGACUGCCUGGGCAGAUUUAUAAAAGAGGGCAUUCGUCCCAUUCGUCAUUUUUAACAAAUUGGAGCUUGAGCAGAGGUGAUUUUUGAUAGAUUUUUAAGGAAAGACAUUGGGGGUAAUUGAUUCUAACUCGGAUUUGGUCUAUAUACAUAAAUAUAUUAUUGUUUUCACCAUUUAAUUAGUGUUUUGAGAUUGAAAUUUUGAGAAACUUUUAGAAAUCUCAUAGAAAUGAAUUUUUGAGAUUUCGGUGUCGAUUCAGAGUUAGAUUUGAGUAAAACCGGUAUGGUUGGAUUCGUAAUUGAAUGGGUUAUCGAAUUUUAUGAGUUUCACCGGAUUCCGAGAUGUGGGCUCCACAGACAAUUUUUGAGCUAAUUUCGGAUUUUAUUGAAAAAUGUAGUAUUUCCUUAUGAAAUUGAUUCCUAUAAUUUUUGUUGAUUAUAUCGAAUUAAUUAUGACUAGAUUCGAGCCGAUCAGAGUCAGAAAAUCGAGGAAAAAACAUACUACUUGGUUAAAUUGGAGCAAGUCGAGGUAAGUGACUUGUCUAACCUUAUGUGGGGGAAAUUUCCCCUAGGAUUGGUAUUAAUUAUAAUAUGAUAAAAGUCGUGUACACGAGGUGACGAGUGUGUAUACAAACUAAAUGUGAAGGAUUAUGUUUUUAAAUUGUGUAGAUCACUGUUGCAUAUUAAUUAAAUUAUUAAAUCUUGUUAUAUUCUCCAUCAUUGAUUUGAUUUAUAUACUUUAAAUUUGCUUGACCUUUUCCUGCUGAUUGUUUUUUUUGUUUAGUUGGAACUUGGUUUCCUUUAUUCUGUGCAUUAUUUGAAGUUGAUUUUCUUUAAGUUAAAUAUUAUUAAUAUAAAGUAUUUGACAUUUUUAAAUUUGGUAUUAAAGCAAUGUAUUAAAGACUUUGAAAUAUUAUUUUGCUGAAUUAUUUAUUCCUAAAUAUUUUUGUAAGAUUUUCGUACUCAUUGUGAUGGAGCCGUGAGCUCUUUAUUAUGGAAAAAUAUUGUUAUUGAAUUAUUUUGGCAAGUUAAAUUAUUUGAGCACUUGAGGUGCAAAUUGUGAUAUAUUGUGAUAUUAAUACGCAUGCGGUGGUAUAAGGUCUGGGUAUUGAAACGCAUGCGGUGAGAUAAGGGUGACUUGAUACGUGUGGCUAAUAGGGGGAACUACUAGAAGUCAUGCGGUAUGAUAAGGAUGGCUAAAACGGGGGAUGUUAUUUCGGAAAAAAUAUUUUCUUUAAAAAUAAAUUGUGAAGGCUCCCGCGGUGAGAUAAAGAAAUGAGAUAUUGUAAAUUUAUUUAUGAUUUGGGACUACGAGGCGGUACCUCGGGAGUGCCCUUGUUGAUAUUGAUUUAUGGCCGCAGUUGCCUUUGAUUAUUUGUUGUGAUUUUUUUAAAGUUGAAAGGAAAUUUUGUUUGUUUCCACGAGAUACUAAUUGCCAUUAUUUUGUGUAAUUAAAUGGUUACCUGCUACUUGAUUCAUUUUCAUUGUCAUUUAUUUUAUUAUAUUAUUAACAUUUUACCAUGCUAUUAUUAUUUUCCAGUAGGGCCUCACCUGACCUCGUCACUACUCUACCGAGGUUAGGCUUGGCACUUAUUGGGUACCACUGUGGUGUACUCAUACUACGCUUCUACACAUCUUUUUUGUGUAGAUCCAGGCACACCUUAUCAGACCAGGCAUCAGUAAACUAGCUGUACGAGGAGACUUCGAGGUAUAUCUGCCAGCGACCGUAGACUCCGGAGUCCCCUUCUAUCUUACUAUGUUAUCUUCCUUAUUUGCUUUAGACUCUGAUGUAUAGAGACAUAGAGAAUAAAUUCUUAGAAGCUUGUGAUUUAUUUUUACUGGGUUUUGGGAGUUGAAAUUAUUUGAAUUGUAGUUUAUUUAUUUCAGAUUUAAAUUUUUAUUCUGCAUUGAUAGGCUUACUUAGUAUUAGAGACUAGGUGCCAUCACUAUAUCCUAUAGAGGGAAUUUGAGGUCGUGACAAGUUGGUAUCAGAGCUCUAGGUUCAUAGGUGUUAUGAGUCACAAACAGGUUUAGUAGAGUCUUACGGAUUGGUACGGAGAUGUCUGUACUUAUCUUCGAGAGGCUAUGGAACUGUUAGGAAAUAUUUACUUCUUUGAUUCCUUAUCGUGCGCCUUUGUUGAUUUCAAAGUUCUAAAAAAUUGCCUUUCUAUUCUCUCAUAUAUGGUGAGGACACGCAUAACUGGAUCCGAUGAUCAGACACCCGCGCCCCCUGUUAGAGCCGCAAGAGGCUGGGGUCAGGGCAGAGGCCCAGCCAGGGGCCGAGGAAGACCACGUGGUGCAACCAGAGCACCUGUAUGAGCUGCUGCACCAGAGCCACCAGUAGCUCCAGUAUCUCCAGUUGGAGAGCAGGCACCUGAGACGCCUGUUACUACUCCUGCACUUCAGGAGACUCUUGCCUAGUUUUUGAGCAUGUUUGGCACUUUAGCUCAGGCAGGGUUAAUUCCACUUGCUCCUGCCACAUCUCAGGCCGGGGGAGGAGCACAGACUCCCGCCGCCCGUACUCCAGAGCCACGGGCCUAAGUUGACCAUGCCCUAGAGGUUAUACCAGUGCAACCAGUUGUCCCAGUUCGGCCUAAGAUUAGGACAACAGUUUCAGAUGGGGAGCAACUCAGGCUCGAAAGGUACAAGAAGUUCCACCCUCCCACUUUUAAUGGUUUAGCUUUAGAGGAUGCUCAGGGUUUUCUGGAGGAAUGUCACUGUAUCCUUCGUACUAUGGGUAUUGUGGAUUCCAGUGGGGUUUCUUUCACGACAUUCCAGUGUAGAGGAGCAGCCUACCAGUGGUGGCAGGCAUAUGAGUUGGAUAGUCCUGCUGAGGUAUCUUCACUCACUUGGACUCAAUUUUCAGAUAUGUUCUUAAGGGAGUAUGUUCCUCAAAGUUUUAGAGAUGCAUGACGCGCAGAGUUUGAGCAGUUGUGCCAGGGUUCUAUGACCGUGUCAGAGUACACGGUCCGAUUCAGUGAUUUGGCGAGGUAUGCACCAGCCUUGGUUGUUACUGUUCGAGAGCGGGUUCGCAGAUUUAUUGAGAGUCUCCACCCUAAUAUCAGAUACAGUAUGGCCCGAGAGAUAGAGAUGGAUAUCACAUACCAAUAUGUGGUAUCAAUUUCUAGGAGAUUAGGAGGUAUGCGGAUCCGGGAGAGGGAAAAGAGGGAAGCUAAGAGACCCCGAGAUUCUGGCACAUAUAAUAAUUCUCGUGCCCCAGUUGCAGCCCAUCAUGGUAGAGGCUAUGUGAGUCGUCCUAUUUAUUCAGCACUUCCAGCUUCUAGUGGUAGUCCGACUACUCCCAGACCACAUGUUCCAUAUUAUGCACCGCCAAUGUCUUCUGUACCUCCUGUACGGGGUGCUUUCAGCGGGCAGUCUAGUCGAUCAGGCCCGAGCCAGUCCCAACAUCCACAUCCUACGAGGGCUUGUUUUGAGUGUGGUGACACUCACCAUAUCAUGAGGGAUUGACCCAGAUUUAGGAGGGGUGCACCUCUACAGAUUUCUCAUGCCCCACCUAUUCCACAAGGCCCUCAGGCUUCUUAAGCCAUGAUUACUGCACCAGUUUUCACUCCACAUGCACAGCCAGCCAGAGGUGGAGGUCGGACAGGUAGAGGUUGCUCUAGAGGGGGAGGCCAGGCCAGAUAUUAGCCCUUCCUGCUAGGACAUAGGCUGUUGCAUCCGAUUCUGUUAUCACAUGUGUUAUUCCGGUCUGUCAUAGAGAUGCAUUGGUCUUAUUUGAUCCAUGCUCCACUUAUUCUUAUGUGUCAUCUUAUUUUGCAUUGUAUUUGGGCAUAUCAUGUGAUUCCUUGAGUUCUUCUAUUUAUGUAUCUACACCCGUGGGUGAAUCUACUAUNNNNNNNNNNNNNNNNNNNNNNNNNNNNNNNNNNNNNNNNNNNNNNNNNNNNNNNNNNNNNNNNNNNNNNNNNNNNNNNNNNNNNNNNNNNNNNNNNNNNNNNNNNNNNNNNNNNNNNNNNNNNNNNNNNNNNNNNNNNNNNNNNNNNNNNNNNNNNNNNNNNNNNNNNNNNNNNNNNNNNNNNNNNNNNNNNNNNNNNNNNNNNNNNNNNNNNNNNNNNNNNNNNNNNNNNNNNNNNNNNNNNNNNNNNNNNNNNNNNNNNNNNNNNNNNNNNNNNNNNNNNNNNNNNNNNNNNNNNNNNNNNNNNNNNNNNNNNNNNNNNNNNNNNNNNNNNNNNNNNNNNNNNNNNNNNNNNNNNNNNNNNNNNNNNNNNNNNNNNNNNNNNNNNNNNNNNNCAUGGACUAGUUGUCGCCCUAUCACGCUAUUCUUGAUUGUUAUGCCAAGACGGUGGUGUUGGCUAUGUCAGGUUUACCGCGGCUAGAGUGGAGAGGUACCUCAGAUCAUGUUCCUAGCAGGAUUGUUUCAUUUGUUAAAGCUCAACGAAUGGUUGAGAAGGGGUGUGGUGCGUAUCCAGCCUAUGUGAGAGAUAUUAGUAUUGAUACUCCUAUUGUGGAGUCAGUUCCUGUAGUAAGGAAUUUUCCUGAUGUAUUUCCAGCGGAUCUCCCGGGUAUGCCACCCUAUAGGGAUAUUGAUUUUGGUAAUUGAUUUGUUAACGGGCACUCAUCCCAUUUCUAUUCCACCAUAUCGUAUGGCCCCAGCAGAGUUGAAAGAAUUAAAAGAACAAUUACAGGAAUCGCUGGAUAAGGGCUUCAUUCGGCCCAGUGUAUCGCCUUGGGGUGCUCCUGUAUUAUUUGUGAAAAAGAAGGAUGUUUCUAUGCGGAUGUGUAUUGAUUACCGCCAACUGAACAAGUUUACAGUGAAGAACAUGUAUCCAUUGCCAUGUAUUGAUGACCUAUUUGAUCAGCUUCAGGGUGCCUGAGUGUUUUCUAAGAUCGACUUGCGUUCAGGCUAUCAUCAG